UCGCCUGUUUUAACAAAAACAUGUCCUUUUGAAAUUUUAUUUAAGGUCUGACCUGCCCUAUGAGAAAUUAAAUGGCCGCGGUAUUUUAACCGUGCAAAGGUAGCAUAGUCACUUGUCUCUUAAUUGGAGGCUUGAAUGAAGGGUUGGACGAGAUAUAAACUUUCUUUGUUGUAAUUAGUUGAAUUUGACUUUUGAGUCAAAAGGCUUAAAUUUAUUUAUAGGACGAGAAGACCCUAUAGAAUUUUAUAUUUUUAUAUCAAUAAUUUAUUUGUUUAUAAUUAGAUUUUUUAUAUAAAAAUAUUUUGUUGGGGCGAUGGGAAGAUUUUUUUAACUCUUUUUUAUUUAAUACAUUGAUAUAUGUUUUUUUGAUCCUUUUUUAGAGAUUAAAAGAUUAAAUUACCUUAGGGAUAACAGCGUAAUUCUUUUGGAGAGUUCUUAUCGAUAAAGGAGUUUGCGACCUCGAUGUGGAUUAAAA
This 475-nucleotide ribosomal RNA is filed under the name Belostoma cummingsi. RNAcentral describes it as "partial 16S ribosomal RNA". It matches the Rfam family "Bacterial large subunit ribosomal RNA", at positions 1796 to 2541 of the family's 2925-position model. Lineage: Eukaryota; Metazoa; Arthropoda; Insecta; Hemiptera; Belostomatidae. The record is from RNAcentral.